RNAcentral lists this ribosomal RNA (253 nucleotides) under uncultured bacterium. RNAcentral describes it as "partial 16S ribosomal RNA". It matches the Rfam family "Bacterial small subunit ribosomal RNA", at positions 524 to 776 of the family's 1533-position model. The record is from RNAcentral.
UACGGAGGGUGCGAUUGUUGUUCGGAAUUAUUGGGCGUAAAGGACGCGUAGGCGGUCAUGAAAGUCAGAUGUGAAAUCCUCCGGCUCAACUGGAGAACUGCAUCUGAAACUUCAUGACUAGAGUACAGGAGAGGGAAACGGAAUUCCCGGUGUAGAGGUGAAAUUCGUAGAUAUCGGGAGGAACACCAGUGGCGAAGGCGGUUUCCUGGCCUGAUACUGACGCUGAGGCGUGAAAGCGUGGGGAGCAAACAGG